RNAcentral lists this transfer RNA (53 nucleotides) under Cleroidea sp. 2 KM-2017. Its description in RNAcentral is "tRNA-Ile". Lineage: Eukaryota; Metazoa; Arthropoda; Insecta; Coleoptera. The record is from RNAcentral.
GACGAAUAGGGCUAUUUUGAUAGAAUAGAUCAUGUAAUUUAUUACCUUCAUUA